RNAcentral lists this transfer RNA (86 nucleotides) under Peptococcaceae bacterium. RNAcentral describes it as "tRNA-Leu". It matches the Rfam family "tRNA". Rfam says of the family: Transfer RNA (tRNA) molecules are approximately 80 nucleotides in length. Lineage: Bacteria; Bacillati; Bacillota; Clostridia; Eubacteriales; Peptococcaceae. The record is from RNAcentral.
GCGGGAGUGGCGGAAUUGGCAGACGCGCUAGACUUAGGAUCUAGUGAGCAGUGCUCGUGGGGGUUCAAAUCCCUUCUCCCGCACCA